GUUUGCUUUUAGGUUAGCAAAAUUAUAAACUUUCUGUUAGUGCCAUUAGUUUUAGAAAAAUUAUAAACUUUCUAUUAGUGCCAUUAGUUUUCAAAUUUGAAAACACUUUUUGUGAUUAACUUACUAAAAAAUGAGAAUAUAUGCGCUUAUAGAGAAAACUUGAUGCACUUCGUGUAUAAAAUGGACAAUCACUUUCAAAUGAACUCUGAAAAAGUUGAAAGUUGGGAUGGUAUCAUAAUUUCACCCACAUAGCAUGUGCAUGUACAAAACGGACAAUGGUAGCAUGUUUGUGUGUUACAAAGUUGGCAUGGUAUCAUCAUAAUAGUUGCGGAAGAAAGUUUUCACUUUUUCCUCGCUUGUGUCAUUUGCUUAUUGCGUCGUAACCAUGGAUAAUCUUCAUUGUUUAUCAGGAUGCUUGGGUCAGCCUUGACAUUGAAGGGAGGAAUUUCAUGAAAGUUUUCAUAAUCUUCAGACAUGUCUGUCUUGCCAUCCACUCCCAGGAUGUCCCUUUUUCCUGAAAGAACUAUGUGGCGCUUUGGCUCAUCGUAUGAUGUAUUCGCUUCCUUAUCUUUUCUUUUUCUCGGUUUGGUAGACAUGUCCUUCACAUAGAUAACAUGUGCCACAUCAUUGGCUAGGACGAACGGUUCGUCAGUGUACCCAAGAUUUUUCAGAUCCACUGUUGUCAUUCUGUACUGUGGGUCUACCUGUACCCCGCCGCCUAACAGAUUGACCCAUUUGCACUUAAACAAAGGGACCUUAAAAUCAGGUCCGUAGUCAAGUUCCCAUAUGUCCACUAUGUAACCAUAAUAUGUAUCCUUUCCGCUCUCGGUUGCUGCAUCAAAGCGGACACCGCUAUUUUGGUUGGUGCUCUUUUGAUCUUGGGAGAUCGUGUAAAAUGUAUUCUCAUUUAUCUCGUAUAAAAUCCUUUGUAAGUCAAUACAGUCAAAGAUGGUCCCCUGGACAAUAAGUACAACUCAUCACAAACAGUGUUGUCACCUCUGAGACGUGUUUCCAACCAACUGCUGAAAGUCCUGAUGUGUUC
RNAcentral lists this ribosomal RNA (1042 nucleotides) under Triticum aestivum (bread wheat). RNAcentral's name for it is "partial small subunit ribosomal RNA". The record is from RNAcentral. Lineage: Eukaryota; Viridiplantae; Streptophyta; Magnoliopsida; Poales; Poaceae.